Molecule: transfer RNA, 65 nt
Filed under: Zeugodacus rubellus
Lineage: Eukaryota; Metazoa; Arthropoda; Insecta; Diptera; Tephritidae
Description: tRNA-Asn
Source: RNAcentral
UUAAUUGAAGCCAAAAAGAGGCUUAUCACUGUUAAUGAUAGAACUGAAAUAUAUUUCCAAUUAAA